ACGGGAGGCAGCAGUGAGGAAUAUUGGUCAAUGGGCGAGAGCCUGAACCAGCCAAGUAGCGUGAAGGAUGACUGCCCUAUGGGUUGUAAACUUCUUUUGUUCGGGAAUAAAGGAGCCUACGCGUAGGCUUUUGCAUGUACCGUUCGAAUAAGCAUCGGCUAAUUCCGUGCCAGCAGCCGCGGUAAUACGGAAGAUGCGAGCGUUAUCCGGAUUUAUUGGGUUUAAAGGGAGCGUAGGCCGUGCUUUAAGCGUGUUGUGAAAUGUAGGCGCCCAACGUCUGCACUGCAGCGCGAACUGGAGCACUUGAGUACGCAGGAAGUAGGCGGAAUUCGUCGUGUAGCGGUGAAAUGCUUAGAUAUGACGAAGAACUCCGAUUGGGAAGCCAGCUUACUGUAGCGCCACUGACGCUGAUGCUCGAAAGCGUGGGUAUCGAACAGGAUUAGAUACCCUGGUA
Molecule: ribosomal RNA, 454 nt
Filed under: uncultured Prevotella sp.
Lineage: Bacteria; Pseudomonadati; Bacteroidota; Bacteroidia; Bacteroidales; Prevotellaceae
Description: bacterial SSU rRNA
Rfam family: Bacterial small subunit ribosomal RNA
Source: RNAcentral